GACGAACGCUGGCGGCGUGCUUAACACAUGCAAGUCGAACGGAAAGGCCUCUUUCGGGGGGUACUCGAGUGGCGAACGGGUGAGUAACACGUGAGUAACCUGCCCUUGACUUUGGGAUAACUUCAGGAAACUGGGGCUAAUACCGGAUAGGAGCUCCUGCUGCAUGGUGGGGGUUGGAAAGUUUCGGCGGUUGGGGAUGGACUCGCGGCUUAUCAGCUUGUUGGUGGGGUAGUGGCUUACCAAGGCGUUGACGGGUAGCCGGCCUGAGAGGGUGACCGGCCACAUUGGGACUGAGAUACGGCCCAGACUCCUACGGGAGGCAGCAGGGGGGAAUAUUGCACAAGGGGUGGAAGCCUGAUGCAGCAACGCCGUGGGCGGGAUGACGGCCUUCGGGUUGUAAACCGCUUUCGCUCAUGACGAAGCUUUGUGUGACGGUAGUGGGUAAAGAAGCACCGGCUAACUACGUG
Molecule: ribosomal RNA, 467 nt
Filed under: uncultured bacterium
Lineage: Bacteria
Description: partial 16S ribosomal RNA
Rfam family: Bacterial small subunit ribosomal RNA
Source: RNAcentral